GCCUGGGUGGCUCAGCCGGUUGGGCAUCCGACUUCGGCUUGGGUUGUGAUCUCGCGGUUUGUGGGUUCGAACCCCACCUCAGGCU
Transfer RNA from Felis catus (domestic cat), 85 nucleotides. It matches the Rfam family "tRNA". Rfam says of the family: Transfer RNA (tRNA) molecules are approximately 80 nucleotides in length. Their secondary structure includes four short double-helical elements and three loops (D, anti-codon, and T loops). Lineage: Eukaryota; Metazoa; Chordata; Mammalia; Carnivora; Felidae. The record is from Rfam.